UCGGGAAUCUUGCACAAUGGGCGAAAGCCUGAUGCAGCAACACCGUGUGAGCGAGGAAGGCCUUCGGGUCGUAAAGCUCUGUUGUUGGGGACGAAGGGCGAAGGGUUAAUAGCCCCUAGCCUGACGGUACCCUUCGAGGAAGCCCCGGCUAACUACGUGCCAGCAGCCGCGGUAAUACGUAGGGGGCGAGCGUUGUCCGGAAUUAUUGGGCGUAAAGAGCGUGUAGGCGGCCUGGUAAGUCUGUCGUGAAAUGCUGGGGCUCAACCCUGGACGUGCGAUGGAUACUGCUAGGCUAGAGGAUGGUAGAGGCGAGUGGAAUUCCCGGUGUAGCGGUGAAAUGCGCAGAUAUCGGGAGGAACACCAGUAGCGAAGGCGGCUCGCUGGGCCAUUCCUGACGCUGAGACGCGAAAGCGUGGGGAGCAAACAGGAUUAGAUACCCCGGUAGUCC
This 448-nucleotide ribosomal RNA is filed under the name uncultured prokaryote. RNAcentral describes it as "bacterial SSU rRNA". It matches the Rfam family "Bacterial small subunit ribosomal RNA", at positions 355 to 796 of the family's 1533-position model. The record is from RNAcentral.